Long non-coding RNA from Austrofundulus limnaeus, 394 nucleotides. RefSeq lists it as uncharacterized. The record is from RefSeq and is a predicted model, not a curated record. NCBI's taxonomy places the organism in Eukaryota, Metazoa, Chordata, Actinopteri, Cyprinodontiformes, Rivulidae. The transcript has 3 exons.
UGAGGCAUUUCUAUGUUUUCACCCCCUACCUCCUGUCCUCGGCACUGCAUUAAUCACUCACACCUGCACCUGAUUUGGAACUCAUCACCUACAGGCUUUAUAAGGCUGAGCUGGAGUUCACCUCGUCGCUGAAGCAUCGCCUCUGUUGGAAGCUACCUCCAGCACGCCUGCCUCCCUGCCUGAGAAACACUUACUGCACUCUCCUGAGUUCCAUGUGCAGCCAGCCCCGAGGAUUUGUAAAUAUAACUGCACCUGUAAAUAUUCACCUGUGGAACCUCACCUGUUGGACCAACUCCUCCAAGACUCAUCUCCUUCUCCAACUUGUCCCGUCCCCAAGACCCCUGCACCUGUAUAUAAUAAAAUUCACUUACUUUUUACAUCAGUCCUCUGUCUC